GAUCAUGGCUCAGGAUGAACGCUAGCUACAGGCUUAACACAUGCAAGUCGAGGGGCAGCGGGAUUGAAGCUUGCUUCAAUUGCCGGCGACCGGCGCACGGGUGAGUAACGCGUAUCCAACCUUCCGUACACUCAGGGGGUAGCCUUUCGAAAGAAAGAUUAAUACCUGAUGGUAUGAUGAGAUUGCAUGAUAGCAUCAUUAAAGAUUUANCGGUGUACGAUGGGG
RNAcentral lists this ribosomal RNA (225 nucleotides) under uncultured bacterium. RNAcentral's name for it is "partial 16S ribosomal RNA". It matches the Rfam family "Bacterial small subunit ribosomal RNA", at positions 15 to 230 of the family's 1533-position model. The record is from RNAcentral.